CCUAAGCGAUAAUUGGUGCUUGGUCGGAAAUUGCUCCUGCAUUUUCGACAUUCGGUACAUCCGUGUACCUUUUGAGUGUUCACACAGAUUGCUUGAUAAAAGAAGUAGAGCAUGGGGGUCUGUAGCUCAGGUGGUUAGAGCGUUCGCCUGAUAAGCGAGAGGUCGGUAGUUCGAGUCUACUCAGACCCACCAAUUCUUCCGCUAUUCUGCGUUAAACAGGUCGUCGUUUACUCCAGUAAACUUCCUCCCUGUUUGCCUCGACUGGUGUCGAAGAAGUGAACAGGUCAAUGUUCAAGACUGUUUGCGAGAGAUUUUAUUGAGUUCGAGGCAGCCGAGCGAAGAGGCGAAGGCUAACAACGAAAUCGGUAAAAAGAACCGCAAAGAAACGGGGCUAUAGCUCAGCUGGGAGAGCGCCUGCCUUGCACGCAGGAGGUCUGCGGUUCGAUCCCGCAUAGCUCCACCACUUCCCUUGGAAGUGCUGGAACCGUCACUCUACAAAAGACGAGAGACGCCAAAGAUAAGUCAGUAUUUAUCUUUGGCUUUUUUAAGCCCGCUCUUUAACAAUUUGGAAAGCUGAUAGUAGACAUCAAAACCUCUCUUCGGAGUGGAUUUGAUUCAUACAAAUUGAGUUCUCAAACACUUCAAUCAAGUGUUUUGGAAAUUCUUCAAGGCGAGUCCACUUCCUUAACCCGGAGGUGAGACAAGUAAACCUAAGCUGGUUGCAAUACAACCCGUGUUUUCCGCUAUGUUACCGAUAAGGUAGCGCAGUCAGGCGACAUGGUGUCUAAGCGGUGAUUUGAGUGAGGAAGGAGUGUAGCAGCGCUACAUGACUGACGAAUGAAAAGCACAAUAACGACAACAUGAGUACUGACAAGCGAGAUGAAAACUCAUCCGGGUUGUAU
This 902-nucleotide unclassified non-coding RNA is filed under the name Shewanella putrefaciens. The stretch from base 116 to 189 matches the Rfam family "tRNA". The record is from RNAcentral. Lineage: Bacteria; Pseudomonadati; Pseudomonadota; Gammaproteobacteria; Alteromonadales; Shewanellaceae.